Molecule: ribosomal RNA, 468 nt
Filed under: uncultured bacterium
Lineage: Bacteria
Description: partial 16S ribosomal RNA
Rfam family: Bacterial small subunit ribosomal RNA
Source: RNAcentral
GACGAACGCUGGCGGCGUGCUUAACACAUGCAAGUCGAACGGAAAGGCCCUGCUUUUGUGGGGUGCUCGAGUGGCGAACGGGUGAGUAACACGUGAGUAACCUGCCCUUGACUUUGGGAUAACUUCAGGAAACUGGGGCUAAUACCGGAUAGGAGCUCCUGCUGCAUGGUGGGGGUUGGAAAGUUUCGGCGGUUGGGGAUGGACUCGCGGCUUAUCAGCUUGUUGGUGGGGUAGGGGCUUACCAAGGCUUUGACGGGUAGCCGGCCUGAGAGGGUGACCGGCCACCUUGGGACUGCGGUACGGCGCAGACUCCUACGGUAGGCAGCAGUGGGGAAUAUUGCACAGUGGGCGGGCGCCUGAUGCAGCAGCGCCGCGUGCGUGAUGCCGGCCUUCGGGUUGUAAACCGCUUUCGCCUGUGACGAAGCGUGAGUGACGGUAAUGGGUAAAGAAGCACCGGCUAACUACGUG